Molecule: ribosomal RNA, 648 nt
Filed under: Bacillus subtilis
Lineage: Bacteria; Bacillati; Bacillota; Bacilli; Caryophanales; Bacillaceae
Description: bacterial SSU rRNA
Rfam family: Bacterial small subunit ribosomal RNA
Source: RNAcentral
UGAAAAGCCCCCGGCUUAACCGGGGAGGGUCAUUUGGAAACUGGGGAACUUUGAGUGCAGAAGAGGAGAGUGGAAUUCCACGUGUAGCGGUGAAAUGCGUAGAGAUGUGGAGGAACACCAGUGGCGAAGGCGACUCUCUGGUCUGUAACUGACGCUGAGGAGCGAAAGCGUGGGGAGCGAACAGGAUUAGAUACCCUGGUAGUCCACGCCGUAAACGAUGAGUGCUAAGUGUUAGGGGGUUUCCGCCCCUUAGUGCUGCAGCUAACGCAUUAAGCACUCCGCCUGGGGAGUACGGUCGCAAGACUGAAACUCAAAGGAAUUGACGGGGGCCCGCACAAGCGGUGGAGCAUGUGGUUUAAUUCGAAGCAACGCGAAGAACCUUACCAGGUCUUGACAUCCUCUGACAAUCCUAGAGAUAGGACGUCCCCUUCGGGGGCAGAGUGACAGGUGGUGCAUGGUUGUCGUCAGCUCGUGUCGUGAGAUGUUGGGUUAAGUCCCGCAACGAGCGCAACCCUUGAUCUUAGUUGCCAGCAUUCAGUUGGGCACUCUAAGGUGACUGCCGGUGACAAACCGGAGGAAGGUGGGGAUGACGUCAAAUCAUCAUGCCCCUUAUGACCUGGGCUACACACGUGCUACAAUGGACAGAAC